Molecule: ribosomal RNA, 171 nt
Filed under: Prevotella sp. 885
Lineage: Bacteria; Pseudomonadati; Bacteroidota; Bacteroidia; Bacteroidales; Prevotellaceae
Description: partial 23S ribosomal RNA
Rfam family: Bacterial large subunit ribosomal RNA
Source: RNAcentral
GCUGGGUAUCCGAGUCUGGUUAGGAUAAGCGCUGAAAGCAUCUAAGUGCGAAGCCAUCCGCAAGAUGAGAACUCCAUUGAGGGUCGUUGUAGACGACGACGUAGAUAGGCUGCAGGUGUAAAGACGGUGACGUCAAAGCCGAGCAGUACUAAUUGCCCGAGACUUUCUUCA